This 506-nucleotide ribosomal RNA is filed under the name uncultured cyanobacterium. RNAcentral's name for it is "bacterial SSU rRNA". It matches the Rfam family "Bacterial small subunit ribosomal RNA", at positions 355 to 874 of the family's 1533-position model. The record is from RNAcentral. Lineage: Bacteria; Bacillati; Cyanobacteriota.
UGGGGAAUUUUCCGCAAUGGGCGAAAGCCUGACGGAGCAAGACCGCGUGAGGGAGGAAGGCCUACUGGUUGUAAACCUCUUUUGAUAGGGAAGAAGAAAGUGACGGUACCUAUCGAAUCAGCAUCGGCUAACUCCGUGCCAGCAGCCGCGGUAAUACGGAGGAUGCAAGCGUUAUCCGGAAUUAUUGGGCGUAAAGCGUCCGUAGGUGGUUAUUCAAGUCAGCUGUCAAAGGAUGGAGCUUAACUCCAUAAAGGCAGUUGAAACUGUGUAGCUAGAGUGCGAUAGGGGCAAGGGGAAUUCCCAGUGUAGCGGUGAAAUGCGUAGAUAUUGGGAAGAACAUCGGUGGCGAAAGCGCCUUGCUGGGUCUGCACUGACACUGAGGGACGAAAGCUAGGGGAGCGAAAGGGAUUAGAUACCCCUGUAGUCUUAGCUGUAAACGAUGGAUACUAGGCGUUGUCCGUAUCGACCCGGGCAGUGCCGUAGCUAACGCGUUAAGUAUCCCGCCU